This 395-nucleotide ribosomal RNA is filed under the name uncultured bacterium. RNAcentral's name for it is "partial 16S ribosomal RNA". It matches the Rfam family "Bacterial small subunit ribosomal RNA", at positions 523 to 918 of the family's 1533-position model. The record is from RNAcentral.
AUACGUAGGGUGCAAGCGUUAAUCGGAAUUACUGGGCGUAAAGCGUGCGCAGGCGGUUUUGUAAGACAGAGGUGAAAUCCCCGGGCUCAACCUGGGAACUGCCUUUGUGACUGCAAGGCUAGAGUACGGCAGAGGGGGAUGGAAUUCCGCGUGUAGCAGUGAAAUGCGGAGAUAUGCGGAGGAACACCGAUGGCGAAGGCGAUCCCCUGGGCCUGUACUGACGCUCAUGCACGAAAGCGUGGGGAGCAAACAGGAUUAGAUACCCUGGUAGUCCACGCCCUAAACGAUGUCAACUGGUUGUUGGGUCUUCAUUGACUCAGUAACGAAGCUAACGCGUGAAGUUGACCGCCUGGGGAGUACGGUCGCAAGGUUGAAACUCAAAGGAAUUGACGGGG